CGCAGGCUCAGUAGUUGUGGCGCACGGGCUUAGCUGCUCCGAGGCAUGUGGGAAUUUCCUGGACCAGGGUUUGAACCCGUGUCCCCUGCACUGGCAGGUGGAUUCUUAACCACUGCGCCAUCAGAGAAGUCCAGUGGCACCUAUUAAGAGACUUCUCUGCUUCUUUUAAGAUUUUUAAAAAUUCAUAAAUGAGAAUCAUUCUUUGAGUUAGAUUUGCUCACUUUAGCAAAGCUGUAAUUUGCUUCUGAUUGUAAAUAUUACUGCUUCUUACAUUUUAGGGUCAACAAUAGCUAAGGUCAGGGCUUGAAAAGUUCAACUUCAGAGUACCAGCUGUUAUUACAGGCAUACCUUGUUUUACUGAGCUUCUUGGAUACUGUUUUUUUGUUUGUUUUUACAAAUUGAAGAUCUGUGGCAACUCUACAUGAAGCAAGUCUAUCGGCGCCAUUUUUCCAACAGCAUUCGCUCACUUUGUGUCUCUGUGUCACGUUUUGGCAAGUCUUGCAAUAUUUCAAACUUUUUCAUUAUUGCAUUUGUAUUGUAUUACUGUAUUUUCAUUAUUGUAUCUGUGAUCAGUGGUCCUUGAUGUUACUAUAGCAAUUGUUUUGGAGAGCCACAAACCUUGCCCAUACCAGACAGCGAACUUAACAAAUAUUCUGUGUGUUCUGACCUACCAGCGUGUUCCCUGGUCUCUCUUCCUCUCCUUGGGCCUCUCUAUUCCCUGAGACACAACAGCACUGAAAUUAAGCAACUAAUAACACUACAAUGAAUUGCCUCUAAGUGCUCAAGUUAAAGGAAGCGUUUCAUGUCUCACACUUUAAAUCAAAAGCUAGAAAUGUUUAAGCUUAGUGAGGAAGGCAUGUUUAAAGCCAAGACACGCCAAAAGCUAGGCCUCUUGAGCCAGUCAGCCAAGUUGUGAAUGCAAAGUUAAAGUUCCGAAACAAAAUUCAAAGUGCUACUCCCGUGAACACACAAAUGAUAAGAAAGCAAAACAGCCUUACUGCUGACAUGGAGAAAGUUUUAGUAGUUUAGAUAUGAGAUCAAACCAGCCACAACAUUCCCUUAAGCCAAAGCCUGAUCCAGAGCAAGGCCCUAAUUAACUUUGACUCUAUGAAGGCUGAGAGAGGUGAGGAAGCUGCAGGAGAUAAGUUUGAAGCCAGCAGAGGUUGGUUCAUGAGGUUUAAGGAAAGAAGCCAUCUUCAUAACAUAAACGUGCAAGGCGAAGCGGCAAGUGCUGAUGCAGAAGCUGUAGCAAGGUAUCCAGAAGAUCUAGUGAAGAUAAUGAAUGAAGGUCGCUACACCAAACAAUAGAUUUUCAAUGUAGAUGAAACAGCCUUAAGUUGAAAAAAGAUACCAUCUAGGACUUUCAUAGCUAGAGAGGAGAAGUCAUUGCCUGGCUUCAAAUGACAGGCUGACUCUCUUGUUCGGGGCUAAUGCAACUGGUGACUUUAAGUUGAAGCCUAUGCUCAUCUACCAACUUGAAAAUCCUAGAAUCCUUAAGAAUUAUGCUAAAUCUACUCUGCCUGUGCUCUAUAAAUGGAAUAACAAAAGCCUGGAUGACAGAACAUCUGUUUACAACAUGGUUUACUGAAUAGUUUAAGCAUACUGUUGAGACUUAAUGCUCAGAAAAAAAGAUUCCUUUCAAAAUAUUACUGUUCAUUGACAAUGCACCCAUUCAUCCAAGAGCUCUGAUGGGGAUGUACAAUGAGAUUCAUGUUGUUGUCAUGCCUGCUAACACAACGUUCAUUCUGCAGCCCAUGGAUCAAGGAGUAAUUUUUACUUUCUCCUCUUCUUAUUUAAGAAAAACAUUUUGUAAGGUUAUAGCUGCCACAGAUGAUGGAUCUGGGAAAGUAAAUUGAAAACCUGGAAAGUAUUCACCAUUCUAGAUGCCAUUAAGAACAUUCGUGAUUCGUGGGAAAAGGUCAAAAUAUCAACAUUAACAGGAGUUUGGAAGAAGUUGAUUUCAACACUCAUAGAUGACUUUGAAGGGUUUAAGACUUGAGUGGAGAAAGUAACUGCAGAUGUGAUGGAAACAGCAAGAGAACUAGAAUUAGAAGUGGAGCCUGAAGAUGGGACUGAAUUGCUGCAAUCUCAUGAUAAAACUUUUAAGGAAUGAGAAGUUUCUUUUUAUGGAUGAGCAGAGAAAGUGGGUUCUUGAGAUGGAAUCUACUCCUGGUGAAGAUACUGUGAAGACUGUUGAAAUGACAUGAAAAACUUAGUUGAUGAAGCAGUGGCAGGGUUUGAGAGAACUGACUCCAAUUUUGAAAGAAGCUCUACUGUGGGUAAAAUGCUAUCAAACAUCAUUGCGGGCUACCAAGAAAUAGUUCGUGAUAGGAAGAGUCAAUCAAAGCAGCAAACUUCACUGCUGUCUUAUUUUAAGAAACUGCCGCCGCCAGCCCAGCCUUCAGCACCACCACCCUGAUCAGCCAGCAGCCACCAACACUGAGGCAAGACCCUCCACCAGCACAAAGACUGACUCGCUGAAGUCUCAGAUGAUGGUUAGCAUUUUUUAGCAAUAAAGUAUUUUUUAAUUAAAGUCUGUACAUUGUUUUUUUACACAUAAUCCUAUCACACACUUAACAGACUACAGUAUAGCGUAAACAUAACUUUUAUAUGCACUGGGAAACCAAAACAUUCCUGUGACUGGCUUUAUUGUGAUGGUCUGGAACUGAACCCCCAAUAUCUCAGAGGAAUGCCUGUAAGUUGGACUGAGGCAACUCCAGAAGACCCAAAGCGUUCCAGCAGUGCACCUGAACCCAGUGUUACUCCCUCCUCUAAGCCAGAGGAGAGACUGAGGCUCCUUGCCAUCAUCUCUGAGGUUUCCUAAAUCCGCAAAUGAUUAUUUUGAAAUUUUGUCUGAUGUCUGACUAAAAAAAAGAAAAAGACCUGCACAGUAGUAACCCCAAGAAAAAUGCCCAAAGCAAAUGCCUCCCACUCAAGUGAACAGAACUCUAACUUGCAACAAGGAAAGGAGUGUAGUAGCAUAAGGCAGAGAAACUGAAAAUACAGGGUAUGCCUAAAGGCUAACCUUUCCAUAACUAAAUCAGGUCUUUUCCUUGUCUUCUUGCUUUUCUUCUCUUUUUGCUCUUUAAAAAGCACUUUUCAAAAAUCCCACACAGAAACUAUAGCCAGUAGCUUCCUUUAGGUUGGCAGUAUUUCUAAGAAUAAUACAACAGCCACAAGUUAUGGAGCUCUGACUCUGUGCCGGGCACGGCACAAUGGCUUUACAUACUAAAUGUUAAGAAAGGCAGGCGGUAUUAUCCCCAUUUUAAAGAUGAGGAAAUUGAGAUUUACAAAGGAAUAUAUAGGUACCAAAAGGCAGUUAUGAUUCAAACCUAAAGAUCUGUUGAUUCCAAAGGUCUUUUAAUACUAUGUUAUCUACUGCCUUUACUUACCAUUAUUUUUCAGAUACUUUGUCUAUUGCACAGUAGUGGGUGUUUUUUCGGUCUUGCCUCCUAAUCCAUUAUACUAAUUUAUUUUCUAUUUUUCUCUUCUCACAGGUCUUUUUUUUGACUAUACUUUUUUACUUAAAAAGUAAAACAAAAAUGACAAUCACACACUAGUUAAUUGUUUCAGAUGGACAACUGGCAUAUAUAAGCACAGACCAAAAUGUAAAUUCUUUCAAUAGACUCAACAGUAAAAGCUGAAUUAUAGGCUUUUUAUCCAUCAUGCUCUACAGGAAUCAAAAAGACACUUACCUUAUUAUUAAAAAUUCAGUGUACAUUUACGAUGUACUAAGAGUACUGUGCUAGGCUCCAUAGGAACUAGAACAUGAGGAAGGCUUGGUCUGUGCCUUUGAAGAACUCAGAGACACUAGUUUGUUGUGGGAGCGGAAGUGGUAACACAAACACUUUUAUUACAAUGUGAGAAAUGCUGAAACAAGUACAGAGUGCUGUGUGGCAGAGAAUAGGGGUGAUGCUGUUAGUACGUGCUAUACUACUAACGGAGGGAGCAAAGGUAGGAGACAUGGGUAUAUGUUUCCAUAACAACAAUCCAAAUGCAAUUACUACUGGUUUGUCACUCUUUUACUCACUAAGUCAUUUGAUUAUCUAUAAUAAAAUGAAAUUUCAAACUCAACUGCCCAUCUAUUCAAAAUUUCUACUGUACUUUAAUUCGUCCUUAGCCUUACCUGUUCUGGAAGAGGCCUAGGUCACAUCCCAUCACCUUAGCAAAGCCUUCUGACUCCCCCCAGAAAGUGAGUCUUUCCCUCUGCUGUUCACAUACCUUUUUGAUAGCACUUUCCAACCUAUUUUAAUUAUUUAUGUCCUCUCUUAUCUGUAGAGGCACUUAUUCUUCUUUGUAUCAGACUGAGGAGACACUUGGUAAUCAUUCACUUAAUCAAUGGAGUUCAACUCUAUUACAGAUCAACAUCUGGACAACUGGCAUGUGUGAUGAAGCAUAAACUAUAUACUGCUAUAUAUACAUCGUUUUAAGUUCUGAUCUGAAGAUGAUGGAGCAGUAAAAGAGAGCUGAUACUAUCAAUGUUUUCAUUAAACACACACACAGAUCAGGUUUAAAGUAUUUAAGUUGCAUUUUAGAAUCAGUUUAAGUCAUCUGGAUGAAAAGUCAUAUGGAGGACUCUGCCACUGUCCUUGAUGGUCACACCACACAAUCUGUUUGCCUCAUGAGGCUCAUCUUGGCCAAAAACAGACACGAAAGUGGAGGAAUUAAGAUGUGUGGGCUUAACUGAAGAAGCCUUCAACACUACCCACCAGUCUGGUGACAGGAGUUCCAACUAACAGCUACAGGCAAUGGGUUGUAAGAAGUCUCUGAGGCUUGUGAGCUUGGAGUUUCCUCAGAAGCCACCACUCCCAACAUGGAUCCUAUGAAAGGAUUCUCAGGUUCCAAACUGACAAUAUUCAACACCCAGCAAGAGUAAAAUAUGCUUUUCUAGCUUUGGUGAUUGAUCCUAUAAUCUCUUUUUAUUAAUAAUAUCUUUUACUCUUAAAUCAUAUGCCCCACAACUGAAUUUAAUUCAUUUUAUUGGAAUGGUUCAUGUAUGAAUGCUCUUAUUAAACAAACAAAAAUCGAAAGUCUAUCACGUAAACUCAUCCCUGUUUCUACCAUUAAAAUCAAGUUAAAUGGUUAAACAAUUAGGGAACUAUAUGCUUCCAUACCUUAUGAAUUCCAUUCAAAUACGCAUGGAAUUUGUUUCACUUAACUUUUAAUAUACAAAGGGAAAAACAAAAAAAGCCUCAUGCUUAAUCUAACUACAUUCUGAACUGAUAAAAUCUACUUAAAAAUCACCCUUAAGAUUUUACAAUACGAUAAUUUCUAAAGACAACAAAUUUCCUUACUUGAGCUGAGUACCUUUAGGACAAAACUGCAGUCGGUCAAAAUCUUUAAAAGAUAAAAAAGAAUCAAUAAUUACUCAUGACUUGUACACAACAAAUCAAUUAUUUUCAAACAAAGUCACUCUAACAGGAUAAGUUGGCACUUACCAAGUCCACAUUCCCCUAUUGCUACAACUUUCCCCUUGUUGUUUUCAGCGAGAUUUAGUAACUCCAUCAAGUAAAGAUCAGGGUUAUUCUUUUCAAAUUCAUCACAUCUUGUAGGAUGACACCCAACUGUACUGAAAAACA
Long non-coding RNA from Orcinus orca (killer whale), 5579 nucleotides. RefSeq lists it as uncharacterized. The transcript is spliced from 2 exons. The record is from RefSeq and is a predicted model, not a curated record. NCBI's taxonomy places the organism in Eukaryota, Metazoa, Chordata, Mammalia, Artiodactyla, Delphinidae.